AGUCCUGGAGAAAAGGAAACAAUCGUGAAAAUGGUCAAUGACACAGUCAGACUAAAGCCAGCUUGAAAAGUUACAUUAGCACAUGCAUGAUGUCAUUGCAUUUUCUGUAAAGUAUCUGCAUAAUUUUUUUUUAAUCAAAUGUAAGGCUUUUUAAGACCUGCACAAAUAAAAAUUCAUACCGUAUGUUCAUACAUAUCUCCAAAUAAAUCAAAUUGUUUUACCUAAACAGGGGAACGGCAAGUUUAACGUGCCGUUUAUUUCACUGUUUACAUAUGCACUGAAGUUGGUUUAUGUACUAAUAUAUCAAACAAUAUGAAUUAGAGGGUGAUCAAUACCUCUGUUUUUGUUCAUGCAAUAGUAAUGUGUUUAAAGGGUAAUUAUACACUGAGCUGAUACUAGUAAAAUCUACAAUCCAAUUUCCGGAAAUGUUGGGAAGUUUAUAAAAUGAAAACUAAAAGACUUUCAAAUCACAUGAGCCAAUAUUUUAUUCACAAUAAAACAUGUUUAAACGGAGAGUUUUUACACUUUUAUCCACUAAAUGAGCUUAUUUCUAAUUUGAUGCCUGCUACAGGUCUCAAAAAGUUGGCACAGGGGCAACAAAGGGCUGAAAAAGCAAGACAUUUUGAAAAGAUUCAGCUGGGAGAACAUCUAGCAACUAAUUAAAUUAAGUGACAUCAGGUCUGUAACAUGAUUAGCUAUAAAAGGGAUGUGUUAGAGAGGCAGAGUCUCUCAGAAGUAAAGAUGGGUAGAGGCUCUCAUCAAAUUGCAAAGGCUUUGCGAAUCUCAUCAUCUACGGUGCAUAACAUCAUCAAAAGAUUCAGAGAAACUGGAGAAAUCUCUGUGCGUAAGGGACAAGGCUGAAGACCUUUGUUGGAUGCCCGUGGACUUCGGGCCCUCAGACGACACUGCAUCACUCAUCGGCAUGAUUCUGUCAUUGACAUUACUAAAUGGGCCCAGGAAUACUUCCAGAAACCACUGACGGUGAACACAAUCCGCCGUGCCAUCUGCAGAUGCCAACUAAAGCUCUAUCAUGCAAAAAGGAAGCCAUACGUGAACAUGGUCCAGAAGCGCCGUCGUGUGCUGUGGGCCAAGACUCAUUUAAAAUGGACUGUUUCAAAGUGGAAAAGAGUUCUAUGGUCAGACGAGUUUAAAUUUGACAUUCUUGUUGGAAAUCACUGACGCUGUGUCCUCUGAGCUAAAGAGGAGGAAGACCUUCCAGCGUGUCAUCAGCGUUCAGUUCAAAGGCCAGCAUCUCUGAUGGUAUGGGGGUGCAUAAGUGCAUACAGUAUGGGCAUCUUGCGUGUUUUGGAAGGCACUAUGAAUGCUGAAAGGUAUAUAAAGGUUUUAGAGCAACAUAUGCUCCCCUCCAGAAGACGUGUAUUUCAGCAGGACAAUAUAAAACCACAUACUGCAGCUAUUACAACAGCAUGGCUUCGUAGCAGAAGAGUCCGGGUGCUGAAUUGGCCUGCAGUCCAGAUCUUUCACCUUUAGAGAACAUUUGGCCCAUCAUUAAACGAAAAAUACAUCAAAGACGACCACAAACUCUUCAGCAGCUGGAAACCUAUAUCUGGCAAGAAUGGGACCAAAUUCCAACACCAAAACUCCAGAAACUCAUAACCUCGAUGCCCAGACGUCUUCAAACUGUUUUGUAAAGAAGAGGAGAUGCUACACCACAGUAAACAUGCCCCCGUCCCAACUAUUCUGAGACCUGUAGCAGGCAUCACAUUUGAAAUGAGCUCAUUUUGUGCAUAAAAUUGUAAAAUUUCUCAGUUUAAACAUUUGUUGUGUUAUCUAUGUUCCAUUGUGAAUAAAAUAUCGGCUCGUGAUUUUAAAUUCUUUUAGUUUUCAUUUUAUUCAAAUGUAAAAAAAGUCCCAACAUUUCCGAAAUUCGGGUUGUAUAUACUGAAUGUGAUCAAUAAUGGGGAACCCAGAGAGAAGCAAAAAGAGUUUCAAAUAAAUACCAUUAAAUGCAAGAUACAGUCUAUUGCAGGGGUCGGCAACCCAUGGCACGCAGAGGGAUAAUCGCUGGCACACAAGCAAUAUGGAAAACUGCAUACCGACGUACAUCAUGGGAUACCUGGAAUCAGCGCUGAAACCUAAAGAUGUCCGAGUUCCGCUCCCCGUGCAACUGAUACUCGACUGCCAUUGGCUAGUCUGCGUUUGAGGGGAGGGGCUUACGAUAGGUCAAUUGAGAUGACCAAUCAAAUCCAAGUAGGCGGGGUUUGAUCGUGUUAGUAUCAUUGCUGUCUAUGGGAGGAUCAGAGAGCUCUCGGAUUUCAUCAGAAAUAUCUUAAUUUGUGUUCUGAAGAUGAACGAAGGUCUUACGGGUUUGGAACGACAUGAGGCAGGGUCUGGGAUCAGAGAUGAUCUCUCACCUGCAGUGCUGCUGAGGUCCGUCAGAUGAGUGUGCUGUGAACAUCGAUCCUGAUGCUCGUCCUGAGAAACUUCUGGAAGCAUCUGCCCUUCAGAGGCUGAAAAACCAACACAAUAUAAUCGAUGAGCCCACGCUGACCGGCGGUGAUUGAGAGAUUUUGGGCCGAUCCGGUGACGACGGACUCAAAUGAAGCAGAUUCCUGAGCUGUGAUGGAAACACGUUUGACAAAAGUUGCCGUGAGGAACUUGCAGCUGCUGUGUAUCAUGUGAUAUGACGGUAGUUUUCUCAAAUUAAACUGUAAAAUGCUAAUAAAAUGACUCUCAGAGCAGCAGUGUGUUAAUAUCAUCAUAUAGUGAGACGGCAGAUAAUCAUAAAGUGUCCAUUUGUCAUGUCCAUGU
This is a long non-coding RNA of Onychostoma macrolepis, 2772 nucleotides long. RefSeq lists it as uncharacterized. The record is from RefSeq and is a predicted model, not a curated record. The transcript has 5 exons. Lineage: Eukaryota; Metazoa; Chordata; Actinopteri; Cypriniformes; Cyprinidae.